GUCCGGGUGCACCACAGUUUAUUUGUCCGUCACCUGGCUGCUUCUGAGUUUUGGCAGCUCUGAAUACAUCAGCUUAUUUUUAAGCAGUAGUGCAAUCACGUAUGGAUUAUUAGAUCAGUAAUGAGUUUAGGAGUUAUGUCCGUCCUCUUUUCUUUGAACUGCAUGUUAUUUAGAACUGUAUCGCUUAAUAUUUAAACACCUGAGGUUUUCAUAGAUCUUUUCCUUUUGGGUCUCUAAUCUGUUAGGGUUGGGGACAUACUGUGUAUGAUUUCAGUCCACUUAAAUUUGUUAAAACUUGUUUUAUGGCCCAUCAUGUGGUAUGUCUUCGUGAUUUUUAAAGUGUAAGUUCUGUGGAUGUGGGUGUCGUAGAGGUAAUCGGGUCAUGGUGGUUGAUAGCGUUCUUUAGGUUGUCGGUAUUUUUCCUGAUUUUUUGUGUGUGUGUCCUGUCAGUUUCUGAGAGAGGGGUGUUAAGAUUUUUGUGACUGUGAAGUUGUCUGCUUCUCCCCUUAUUUCGGUCAGCGCUUGCUUCAUGUAUUUUGAGGCUCUGUUUUUAAAGUGUCUCUCGCAGACAGUAUCUAGUUGGGUCUUGCAUUUUUUUUAUCCAUUUUGACAAUCUCUUCCUCUUAAUGGAGUUUUUAGUCUACAGAGAUUCAUUUUCAUUUUCCCUUCAGCUUUCUAGCUUUGCCUCCCUACGUCUUUAUUUAGAGGUUGCCCAAGGGAUUACAAAACACACACUUAAAUUUUAUCUGUAGUUUUUGAUGUCUCCUCUGCGUUCUCCUCGUAGACUAGGCUGCCAUGGCAGACCAGAGACAGCGCUCCCUCUCUACCUCUGGGGAAUCCCUGUACCACGUUCUGGGGCUGGACAAGAAUGCAACCUCGGAUGACAUUAAGAAGUCCUACCGGAAGCUGGCCUUGAAAUAUCACCCUGACAAGAACCCAGAUAACCCAGAGGCCGCAGACAAGUUUAAGGAGAUCAACAACGCCCACGCCAUCCUGACGGACUGCACGAAAAGAAACAUCUACGACAAGUACGGCUCGCUGGGGCUCUACGUGGCCGAGCAGUUCGGGGAGGAGAACGUGAACACCUACUUCGUGCUCUCCAGCUGGUGGGCCAAGGCCCUGUUUGUGUUCUGCGGGCUCCUCACCUGCUGCUACUGCUGCUGCUGCCUCUGCUGCUGCUUCAACUGCUGCUGCGGGAAGUGCAAGCCCAAGGCGCCGGAGGGCGAGGAGACCGAGUUCUACGUGUCCCCCGAGGACCUGGAAGCGCAGCUGCAGUCCGACGAGAGGGGAGGGCACUGACACUGUGCGGGAGUGUUUGUGGUGGCGGCGGGACGGUUGAGGUGUGAACGUGGACGCCGGAGAGGCCGCAGACACGCCGAUCGUCGUCCAGCCGGCGUCCGCCACGGAGACCACCCAGCUCACAGCCGACUCCCACCCCAGCUAUCACACCGAUGGGUUCAACUAAAUUCAGGAGAAGCUGUGAUUCGAGGGUCAGUCAGCACCCAGCCACUCGACCUUAGAAUCACGGACUGUAGUCCCAGAGGUGGGGCGGGAGCCGCCCUGGCCCCGGGAGGCAGCGCCAGCCCGCCUCUGUGCCCGCCCACCCGCCGGUCCCUGACGCGCGAAGUGCGCAGCAUGCAGCGUUUAAAGCAGUUCAGCUGCGGUCGUCUUCUUCUGUUGUCCCUUUAAUAGCAUGUGCAGGCUUACGUUCCACGUCUGUCUGUAUUGUGAGCGUGUUGCGGCCAGGCCGUAUUCCCCGGACGUGGGGCCGCCUCAGGGCUCUCGGGCAGGUCGACGCAGCGGUCGGACGGCCCGUGUGGUCCCUCGCGGUCAGGCGGGCUCGGGCUCCGUUCCCCGUGCCCAUGGGGGCCUGAGGCAGGUGCUGCCUGGCUGGAGCCGUGGGGUCUGCUCCCUGCCCCGUGCCUGCCAAGCAUGUGGCCACAGGCAGGGCCUCUGGACUCACCUGCCAGGAAGGAGCUGGGCCCACUCUCCCAGCGCCGGGGCGUUUCUGUGGCUUCGUACCAGGGACAGUCUGUGCGGGACCCGUUCACCUCGUCUGCUUAGCCUGUAGCAGUUGUUUCUCAUGUCUGACCUGAGGCCCCCGUGCUUCGAGUGUGUUCCCUCCCGGGGUGGGGACGUUCCCACACGUCCCCAGGCCAUGAGCUGGAUGGAAGGGGCCCCUUCCGCAGCCUCCACUCUCCCCUUCCCUGCAUCGUCCCCCACAUUCCUUCAGGCCCACCUGGCCUCUUGGUAAUGCUCUUUGAACCUCUAAGAACCACAGAUGGCAGCAGCGGCCCAAUUAGCGGUGGUCAGAGGGGCUGGGAGUCCAGGCUGCCCGUGGCGAGUGGGCUGCACAGCCCUCCCCUCUGUGCUUCCCAGAGCUCUCACCCCCCCGCUUUCCUCCGACUGCUCCCUUUGGCUGUCGUUGAUGGUUUGGGCAGAGCUAGAGAUGUCAGGCUCACGGAGAAAGGACCAGCUGGACCAAAGGCACACUCAGGGCACAGGGUUGGGUCCCCAAGUGGCCCUGGUGCCCUUGGGCUCGUUAGCCCGCAGCCAGACCACAUAAGCCCCGCUCACCUCUGUCCGUGCACCGCCUGUGGGCUGUUGGAAGCCAGUCUGUCUUGUCCGCGUCCAGACCUGUGGGUGGCCCCUGCUCUGAGGACUUGGAGACGUGGCUGUGCUGGGCCUGUGCCAGACCAGCACCUGCCCCGGGACCUGCGUGGCCCAAGUGGGUCUGGCAUCCCAUCAUGCACCUCGCGACUGCUGGGCUCCUCCGGAAUGUCCCGUAGGGAAGGCCGUGGGGCAGGGGCUGCACGCAAGGAGGUCAGACGCACCAGGACACCUUCCCGAGCCACUGACUACCACCACCCCACCCCAGCCCCGCCCAGGCCCCGGCUUGCCCACUGCCCUCACGGUGCUGUGUGGGGUGAGCGUCCGGCUCUGCAGGCACCAGGUCCGUGGGCACUUGUGGGUUCCGUUUUGUUUGGGGUUUUGCCCUUGAAAACAAUCACGAAGACGGUCAGCAAGAGGGGAGGUCUGCGCUGAUGUUAAAUGAGGCAUAAUCUGCUGAGAUCCGGCCUCUCAGAAGGACAAGAAAUCCGUUGUUGGACCUGCCCUGGAGCAGGGAGGAGGCCAGACACUAGGACAGUCUUAGGUGCCAAUCCCAGGCCAGCAAGAAUUCAGCCUGAGAGCAGGCCCUAGUCGGCCUUCCUGACGUUUCUGGAAAUAACUUUAGGAAAUGAGUUGUUUUUCCCUAGAGUGGCCAAGCACGAAGUUCAGAGGUUGGGCUUCAGGUAGGCAGCCGCCUUCCACGGUGACUGUGUCAUUGCUUCGUGGGCAGAAAACUCGGAGGCGCAUCACGCAGGUCAGGGCGGAUCUCUGCCGGGUGUCUUUUGGUUCCCGAAUCUUUCUGAUCGUCCACUGGAAACGUGAUGCUCCCCUGGAGGCCCGAGGGGCAGGUCCGGAGGUUUGUUGAACCCCGUCUCCUGUAGAAUUUGUAAAAACUAAAUAAAUCGCGACGGCGAUGAGAACAAUCCUCAAGGCGAAGCUGAUGACUCCGCGAGGGCUGGGCACCCCGGGGCCAGGCGCAGGGCCUGGACCACGCCCCCGCACCUGACCCCGACACACGCCCACUCUGUUGAUUUGGAGGCAGAAACCCUUUCAAAGACUUCCCUGUCUCUGCUUUCAGGCCCUCCCCCUGACUGAAGACCUAGGUCCCUGGUUGCAUUUCCCUUUUCCUUGUGUGGCCCAUCUGCUUCCCGGGUGAGCGGGGUGUUGUGUCUGGAGGGCCCCCUGUUCACGUGCGCGGAGGGGACAACCCUCUCCUGCUGUGGUGGGAACAGGAGCGCCUCGGCCCUCGCUCCAGGGCCCCCGAGGCCAGUGCCGGGUGCCCUGAGGCCCUGACAGCACUGCCCGCCUGUGGCCUGCCGGGAGCGUGGGAGAGGCUGCAGGGUGCAGACGGGAGCUGCCGCGCGUACAUUUCUGUUUUCGCUUGGUGACGUGGUCUCUUGUCCUUUCUGGGCGUUUCUCUGUUUUCAACCUGCUGUAGACGUUACUGCUCGUGCGUGAGCUUUCCUACUUCUCCGACGAGUCGAGCAGCCAGCACCGCUGGGGCCCCUUAGGCGUGCUGUGUCCACAGGGCUCCUGCUUGGGGAGGUGCCCUGCCGGGACCAUCUGGCGUAUUCUAACCGCGGGCAGUCUGUUCCAGGGGAGCUUGUGCAGUGCCCGCUGGGGAGACGGGCAGCCUCCGUGGCACCUGGUGUGAGACCACCUGUGAGGGGGGCGGGCACCGGCUCGUGGGCUCUCCCUGGAGGGGCCCGGUCCGUUCUUCCCUGGCUCUCAGCACAUCCCGCCAGGGGGACAGCGCGGGGGGCGGCGGUGGUGGUGAGGGGCGAGAAACAGUGACUGAUGUCACUCCUUUCCCAGCGUUCUGAGCUGUGAGCCCGUGUGACACAGGACUCGCCUGUUUUGCUAUUUUGGUUGUGAUUCCUUCUCCUGUGGAAUUGGCAAAAGCUACAUUUUUACUGUCCUUUCAAGCACGGUUGGCGUCGUCUCUGCUGUAGGUGUGGGCAGUGUGUGUACAUAUGUGUAUAUGUAUAUAUCACCCAGCGGCGUGAGCGCCGCCGUCCGGGGCAAAGCGACAGUACAAUAAAAGUGGCUCCCAAACAGCCUCUGGUUUCUUGACGAGUCGGGGCAGGAGCAGGGGGUCUGGGCGAGCUCCUCUGCCAGGUGCACAGAAGGAAACAGCGGCCCUGUUGUGUCCCUGGAAUCAGUGUGGACGGCAGGCCGGGCGCCUGAGCGCUGCCAGUGUCGGCUCCUCCAGGGUAGGGUGCAGGGCUGCCAAGGUCACACCCGUACCUGGGGGCUCACCUGACCCAGAGGUGAGCGGCUGGAAACCCCUCCCUCCCCUGAAACAUUAAAACCAAUUUUCUAAGCAUCAGAUACAAUCAGUGACAAAGCCACGUUCAAAGGGGUCUCUGUUCUGACCCCAGAUCCACCCUGGAGGGUCCCCGGGGAGGAAGCGGCUGAGCCUGGGGUCCUGUGGGCAGCAGCUUUUGGUGAUUUUGUCUCCCUGGAAAUAAGGGUGUUUCAGGGUGGGCGAGGGGAGCAGUUUACACUGAAACAUGUAUGCGUCAUGGUUAGAAGCUAAAUGCAGGCGCGUGGACCGCGAUCGUCCGUGUGCUGCUGUGUCCUGCUGCUGGGACCGACCUCUGCCCUGAGCCCACGCACACACCUGGGGCUGGGCUGGAGGGUCACGGUGGUUUCCCAUGGUGAUGGUCUCUUAUGUCUGAAUGUUGACCUAUGAUAAAGAUAACUUGUAAAAAAUAAAUGUUUUCACUGCAGA
Molecule: non-coding RNA, 5344 nt
Organism: Delphinapterus leucas (beluga whale)
Lineage: Eukaryota; Metazoa; Chordata; Mammalia; Artiodactyla; Monodontidae
Source: RefSeq, a predicted model, not a curated record